Molecule: ribosomal RNA, 253 nt
Filed under: uncultured bacterium
Lineage: Bacteria
Description: partial 16S ribosomal RNA
Rfam family: Bacterial small subunit ribosomal RNA
Source: RNAcentral
CGUAAGGUCCGAGCGUUGUCCGGAAUCAUUGGGCGUAAAGGGUACGUAGGCGGGUAAGCAAGUUAGAAGUGAAAUCCUGUAGCUCAACUACAGUAAGCUUUUAAAACUGCUCAUCUUGAGAUAUGGAAGGGAAAGUGGAAUUCCUAGUGUAGCGGUGAAAUGCGCAGAUAUUAGGAGGAAUACCGGUGGCGAAGGCGACUUUCUGGCCAUAAUCUGACGCUGAGGUACGAAAGCGUGGGUAGCAAACAGGAUU